AUAUCAGUAAGCAGAGGAAAAGAAAUUAACUAAGAUUGCCUUAGUACCGGCGAGGGAACUGGCAAAAGCUCAAACUUAAAAUCUGUAGACUUCGUCUACCGAAUUGUAAUCUAAAGGGUGUGUCUAAAGGCUGGAUUGUAGUAUAAGUUUCCUGGAACGGAGCACCAAAGAGGGUGAAAGUCCCGUAUUUGGCUACAAGAAAGUCGAAGACUAGCCUCGUAGAGUCGGGUUGUUUGGGAUUGCAGCCCUAAAUGGGAGAUAAACUUCUUCUAAGGCUAAAUAUCUAUGGGAGACCGAUAGCGCACAAGUA
Molecule: ribosomal RNA, 310 nt
Filed under: uncultured eukaryote
Lineage: Eukaryota
Description: partial large subunit ribosomal RNA
Rfam family: Eukaryotic large subunit ribosomal RNA
Source: RNAcentral